AAUGAGAUCCUAAGAUGGCGGUGGCUGCGGCGGUUGGUGCUGCGUAGCUGAGGUCGAAAAGGCGGCCACUGGGGCCAAGGCAGCCAGGAAACGUGUGGGCCUCUCUGCUGCGGUCUCCGAGGGCCGACCGCUGCUGGCGGCGGGUCGUGGGGGCUGACUGCCGCUCUGCCUUUCACAGGAGAGGCUCCUUCUUGUAGAGGAAACAGCUUUGAAGUGUGAAGCGGGAAAAGAGCAGUUCUGAGCUGCAAAAAUUAGUUUCUAAACAGGUAAUUUGACAUUAUUAUCUAUUAUCCUUUGUAUUAGAGUUGGAGAAGACUUUAUGGUGGACACUGCUGUCACAAUUACAGUGCAUGACUGAGGACCCUCUCUGCUUAGUAAACACACUUUCUGGGUUCACUGCCCUGUUUGCUCUGCUUUUCCGCGUGCUGCUUUGGCCUGCCCGUGUAUCUUUGUUAGGAAAGGCCCUGUCAUUCCUUAUUAUUAAGUACUAGAAUGGUUUAUGCAGUACGGUUUGAAAUUUAUUUGUCUUCACAGAAUUUUUUCAACCUGUUUGAAUUUGUCCUAUAACUGGAUAGCCUCUCUUUCCAAAUCCAUUUAAUCUCAAGUUCUCUUCUACAACAUUCCUAUUAAUUGGCUGUUCAUGAACUCUACUUUUUGAACUUGUUAUGCCUUGACCGAAGUUUAGUUGUCUAAAAUUAUUUUAUUAUUAUUUUUUGUACUUCGAUCUCCCUUUCCUGGUAUAAAGUUACUUUAAACAUUACUUUUAGCGCAUGGUGCAUUGCCACAUGCAAGUGACAUAAAGGUAUUCUCUGUCCAGCAGAAUAAAGUCAGUGUUGUAGAAUGUAAGUUCGCUAGGAGAAGUUCAAUAAUUGUUUGCAAAGGGCAGUUUGGAAAAAUGGCUAAAAGAUAAUUAGAAGUUUGUUAAAAGCUUUUUGGAAAUAAUUGCUCUUCAGAAAAAACCUCAGAAAUAAAUAACCUAAAUUUAAUUCUACUCUUAACAUUUUAAGAAAGUUCAUUUUGAAAGUUUUGUAGAAAUUGGCUGGGCGCAGUGGCUCACGCCUGUAAUCCCAGCACUUCGGGAGGCCGAGGUGGGCGGAUGACGAGGUCAGGAGAUCGAGACCAUCCGGCUAACAUGGUGAAACCCCAUCUCUAUUAAAAAUACAAAAAAGAUUAGCCAGGCGUGGUGUCGGGCACCUGUAGUCCCAGCUACUCUGGAGGCAGAGGCAGGAGAAUGGCGUGAACCUGGGAGCAGGAGAUUGCAGUGAGCCGAGAUUGUGCCACUGCACCCCAGCCUGUGCGACAGAGUGAGACUCAGUCUCAAAAAAAAAGAAACUUUUGUAGAAAUCAAUAUAUAUUCUUGCUUUCUACAAAAGCAGACAGAUUUUUAUUUUAUAGCUCUCGUAUGAGGACCUGAAAUGAGACUGUCAUGAGAAAAUACAAAUAGGUAGUUGAUGUAUAUCUUAAUUAUCGUUCUCAGUGGGGUUUUUUUUUCUUUUUUUUUUUUUUUAAACUGGAAGACUAACAAAACAGGGCAAGAAAAAUGGAACUCAAGGGAAAGGUCACAUGUGAGUGUGUGUAUUAGAGUUGUUAAUCCUAGAGUGAUUGCUGUAUGGUAGGCUUUAGUAAAAUAAACAAUAAUUACAAAAUUAUUUAUAAAAUUUUCGUUUUAGCACAUUGGGGAACAUGAUGGAUAAGACGAAUAAAAAUAAAGGGUAAUUGAGUUAACUUCAAUUGGAAGACCUGGGUUUUUUCAGUAGGAGAUUUGGCAAUUUUUUUCUGAAGGAGGAAAGUGGAUUUGAGACUUGGAGAAACUAGUAAGGCUGUGAGAUUCACAAUACAGAGCUAAGAAGACAACCAGAGAUACAUAGCAGUACUUUCAUACAGAUUUGAGUGCCCUACAACGUGCUAUGUAAUGACUAAAGUACUAGAGAUACAACGGUGUGCAAAACAGACAGGGUGCUUUUCUUCAUGGAGUAAACUUACAUUUUAAAAGUAUCUAUGUGUAUGUAGAGUGUAGUAUACCUUAAUAGUGAUCACAGUCAAUGCCAUUUUAUGAUGAUUUCCCCGCUUCUUGACAGCUUGAGAAUAGUAGCAGGGAAAACAGAUAGUGGACUUUAGCCAGAAUUGAGUUGACACAGUAGGCAAGUAGGUGAGGAAGUGAAGGAUGCUAGCUAGCAAGGCAUUUUUGCAAUGACUUACUUGGGUUUGGGUUUGAGUAAAGAAUCAAGGGAUUGAUGGAUUUAGGGAGAGAGAAACGAUCAAGGGGCUGGUAGUAUUCAGGAAGGCUAAGAGCAGUUUCAGCAGGAAUAAAGUGAGAGAAGUAGAAUGCAAAAACUUAUGAUCAGAAAGAGGAACUUCAGAAGUUCAGGAUCCUGAACAAAUUAUCAGUUCAGUAUUGGAAUAGAGAAGAUGAGAUGGAUAUUGGAAUUGAGGCCAGAGUCCUAGAAAAGUCAUUGCAAGUGUUUAGUUCAUGAAAGCAGGGAAUGAAGUAGAAAGUGAAACCAUGUGCCAGUUACUAUCAGGAAAAGUAUAAGAGUAUCUUGGAUAUUUUCAGGGGUGAUUAUGAGUAAUUUAAUGCCGUUUGAGAAAAAAAUAAUUUUUUUCUUUGCUGAGUACUUUGUUUUUUUUUUUUUUUUUUUUUGGAGACAGAGUCUUGCUCUGUUGUCCAGGCUGGAGUGCAGUGGCGCUAUCUUGACUCACUGCAUCCCUCUCCUCCCGAGUUCAAGCAAUUGCUUCUCCUUACUCAGCCUACCAAACAGCUGGGAUUACAGGCAUGCCCCAGCACGCGUGGCUAAUAUUUGCAUUUUUAGUAGAGGCAGAGUUUUGCCAUGUUGACCAGGCGAAUCAAGUGAUCCGCCCGCCUCAGCUUCCCAAAGUGGUGGGAUCACAAGCAUGAGCCACUUCACCUGGCCUGAUUACUUGAUUACUUUGAAUUUCUUCUUUACCUUGUAUUAUUUCAAAAGUAAACUGUAGUCAUAGGUAUUUUCAUGGUAAUUGAUACUGUGAUAUUCUACCGUAAUAAGUCUCUGUAGUUAGAAUCCUGCAAGGGGAUAUUCUUUUUUUUGGCGAUGGAGUCUUGCUCUGGCACCCAGACUGGAAUGCAGCAGCACAGUCUUGGCUUACCGCAACCUCUGCCUCCCAAGUUCAAGUGAUUCUCCUGCCUCAGCCUCCCAAGUAGCUGGGAUUACAGAUGCGUGCCACCACGUCUGACUAAUUUUUGUAUUUUUAAUAUAGAUGGGGUCUUACCAUGUUGGUCAGGCUAGUCUUCAACUCCUGACCUCGUGAUCCGCCCGCCUCGGCUUCCCAAAGUGCUGGGAUUACAGGUGUGAGCCACUGCACCCAGCCUAACAGGAUUUUCUUAAAAAAAAAAACAAAAAAAAAACAAAAUUAGUCAUUGAAAGUAGGUUAAAAUUGCCAUAGUAUAUUUUCAUUUUUCUGUCUUUGUAAAAAAAAAAAAAAAAA
RNAcentral lists this small RNA (3462 nucleotides) under Pongo abelii (Sumatran orangutan). Its description in RNAcentral is "retained intron". Lineage: Eukaryota; Metazoa; Chordata; Mammalia; Primates; Hominidae. The record is from RNAcentral.